RNAcentral lists this unclassified non-coding RNA (80 nucleotides) under Pseudomonas sp. B10. Lineage: Bacteria; Pseudomonadati; Pseudomonadota; Gammaproteobacteria; Pseudomonadales; Pseudomonadaceae. The record is from RNAcentral.
UGGCAAGCCAGCUCCCACAGGGGUAUUCAGUGAACACAGAUUAAGUGGACACUGAGAACCCUGUGGGAGCUGGCUUGCCA